This is a small nucleolar RNA of Leersia perrieri, 139 nucleotides long. It matches the Rfam family "Small nucleolar RNA Z247". Rfam says of the family: Z247 is a member of the C/D class of snoRNA which contain the C (UGAUGA) and D (CUGA) box motifs. Most of the members of the box C/D family function in directing site-specific 2'-O-methylation of substrate RNAs. The record is from Rfam. Lineage: Eukaryota; Viridiplantae; Streptophyta; Magnoliopsida; Poales; Poaceae.
CCCAUAGAUGAGGAAUCCCUCGUCUCCUACAUCCUAGCGGGACUCGACAUCGACUACAACUCGCUGGUAUCUAGUGUUGUUGGACGAUCUGACCCAAUUUCUUUAAGUGAUCUUUAUGCUCAGAUGGUCAGCUACAACA